UACAGAGGGGGCAAGCGUUGUUCGGAAUUACUGGGCGUAAAGGGCGCGUAGGCGGCCCGCUAAGUCGAACGUGAAAUCCCUGGGCUCAACCCAGGAACUGCGUCCGAUACUGGCAGGCUUGAAUCCGGGAGAGGGAUGUGGAAUUCCAGGUGUAGCGGUGAAAUGCGCAGAUAUCAGGAAGAACACCUAUGGCGAAGGCAGCUCUCUGGGACGGUACUGACGCUGAGACGCCAAAGCGUGGGGAGCGAACAGG
This 253-nucleotide ribosomal RNA is filed under the name uncultured bacterium. RNAcentral describes it as "partial 16S ribosomal RNA". It matches the Rfam family "Bacterial small subunit ribosomal RNA", at positions 524 to 776 of the family's 1533-position model. The record is from RNAcentral.